Molecule: microRNA precursor, 94 nt
Filed under: Canis lupus familiaris (dog)
Lineage: Eukaryota; Metazoa; Chordata; Mammalia; Carnivora; Canidae
Also listed under: 1 other name
Description: mir-8799 microRNA precursor family
Rfam family: mir-8799 microRNA precursor family
Source: Rfam by way of RNAcentral
AGGGGGAGCGCAGGAUCCUGGACUGUGUCUCCCGGCACCCUGGGAUCUGGGACCUGUGUCACUGGAAUCGUGUUCCUGUGCCACACAGCCCCCU